Molecule: ribosomal RNA, 497 nt
Filed under: uncultured bacterium
Lineage: Bacteria
Description: partial 16S ribosomal RNA
Rfam family: Bacterial small subunit ribosomal RNA
Source: RNAcentral
GAUGAACGCUGGCGGCGUGCCUAAUACAUGCAAGUCGAGCGAACGGACGAGAAGCUUGCUUCUCUGAUGUUAGCGGCGGACGGGUGAGUAACACGUGGAUAACCUACCUAUAAGACUGGGAUAACUUCGGGAAACCGUAGCUACUACCGGAUACUAUUUUGAACCGCAUGGUUCAAAAGUGAAAGACGGUCUUGCUGUCACUUAUAGAUGGAUCCGCGCUGUAUUAGCUAGUUGGUACGGUAACGGCUUACCAAGGCAACGAAGCAUAGCCGACCUGAGAGGGUGAUCGGCCACACUGGAAGGGAGACACGGUCCAGACUCCUACGAGAAGGAGCAGUAGGGAAUCGGCCGCAACAGGCGAGAACCUGACGGAGCGACGGCGCGUGAGUUAUGAAGGUGUUCGGAGCGUGAAGCUCUGUUAUUAGGGGAGAACAUAUGUUAGAGUAGCUGUGGAGAUCUUGACGGUACCUAAACAAGAAGCCACGGCUAACUACGUG